This 535-nucleotide ribosomal RNA is filed under the name uncultured Alphaproteobacteria bacterium. RNAcentral describes it as "bacterial SSU rRNA". It matches the Rfam family "Bacterial small subunit ribosomal RNA", at positions 349 to 903 of the family's 1533-position model. The record is from RNAcentral. Lineage: Bacteria; Pseudomonadati; Pseudomonadota; Alphaproteobacteria.
CAGCAGUGGGGAAUCUUAGACAAUGGGCGCAAGCCUGAUCUAGCCAUGCCGCGUGUGUGAUGAAGGUCUUAGGAUCGUAAAGCACUUUCGCCAGGGAUGAUAAUGACAGUACCUGGUAAAGAAACCCCGGCUAACUCCGUGCCAGCAGCCGCGGUAAUACGGAGGGGGUUAGCGUUGUUCGGAAUUACUGGGCGUAAAGCGUACGUAGGCGGAUUGGAAAGUUGGGGGUGAAAUCCCAGGGCUCAACCCUGGAACUGCCUCCAAAACUAUCAGUCUAGAGUUCGAGAGAGGUGAGUGGAAUUCCAAGUGUAGAGGUGAAAUUCGUAGAUAUUUGGAGGAACACCAGUGGCGAAGGCGGCUCACUGGCUCGAUACUGACGCUGAGGUACGAAAGUGUGGGGAGCAAACAGGAUUAGAUACCCUGGUAGUCCACACCGUAAACGAUGAAUGCCAGUCGUCGGGCAGUAUACUGUUCGGUGACACACCUAACGGAUUAAGCAUUCCGCCUGGGGAGUACGGUCGCAAGAUUAAAAUCA